GCGCCCGUAGCUCAGUCGGUAGAGCGGUGGAACGUUGAUCCACAAUCCUGGGUUUCAAGUCCCGGCGGUCGCU
This is a non-coding RNA of Phthorimaea operculella (potato tuberworm), 73 nucleotides long. The record is from the annotation of a GenBank genome assembly. NCBI's taxonomy places the organism in Eukaryota, Metazoa, Arthropoda, Insecta, Lepidoptera, Gelechiidae.